Molecule: non-coding RNA, 46 nt
Organism: Ricinus communis (castor bean)
Lineage: Eukaryota; Viridiplantae; Streptophyta; Magnoliopsida; Malpighiales; Euphorbiaceae
Source: Rfam
UUAUAGGUUCUUUUAAGAACCAUGCAGACUUAUUAAGACUCGUGCU